UACGUAGGGUGCAAGCGUUGCCCGGAUUUAUUGGGCGUAAAGGGCGCGUAGGCGGCUCGGCACGUCCGUUGUGAAAUCGCCCGGCUCAACUGGGCGGGUCAGCGGAUACGGUGUGACUGGAGCAAGCUAGGGGCAAUGGAAUUCCCGGUGUAGUGGUGGAAUGCGUAGAUAUCGGGAGGAACACCAGUGGCGAAGGCGGUUGCCUGGAGCUUUGCUGACGCUGAUGCGCGAAAGCGUGGGAGCGAGUCCGG
RNAcentral lists this ribosomal RNA (251 nucleotides) under uncultured bacterium. Its description in RNAcentral is "partial 16S ribosomal RNA". It matches the Rfam family "Bacterial small subunit ribosomal RNA", at positions 524 to 776 of the family's 1533-position model. The record is from RNAcentral.